RNAcentral lists this ribosomal RNA (254 nucleotides) under uncultured bacterium. Its description in RNAcentral is "partial 16S ribosomal RNA". It matches the Rfam family "Bacterial small subunit ribosomal RNA", at positions 524 to 776 of the family's 1533-position model. The record is from RNAcentral.
UACGGGGGGGGCAAGCGUUGUUCGGAAUUACUGGGCGUAAAGGGCUCGUAGGCGGCCAACUAAGUCAGACGUGAAAUCCCUCGGCUUAACCGGGGAACUGCGUCUGAUACUGGAUGGCUUGAGUGCGGGAGAGGGAUGCGGAAUUCCAGGUGUAGCGGUGAAAUGCGUAGAUAUCUGGAGGAACACCCGUGGCGAAAGCGGCAUCCUGGACCACGACUGACGCUUAGUGAGCGAAAGCCAGGGGAGCAAACAGG